ACUCCCAAACGAAUGUACACAAGAUUUCAAUUAAUUGACUUGUGAGAAGUAGUUUCUGAAGCCUUCGAGUCCUCUUCAUCAAAGCGGAGAGAUAAUCAAUGAAGUGCGCAAGAUUUGUAUCAAUUCCAGUUUUUUCCGUGUUUCUUGUACUGGGUUUUGUUUACUACAUCACAAUCUUCGUUUUCCUUGAAGAUUGGUUAGGGUUGCAGAGCUCGGCUGGUUCAUUGAACGCUCUGAUCUUCACUUACUUGGCUUGUUUCUCUCUUUUCUCUUUCCUCGUCUGUGUUCUCACCGACCCAGGUGGCGUCCCAUCUGCAUACGUCCCUGAUGUUGAAGAUUCUGAGCUUUCAGAUCAAGACUCCAAGAAAACUGGCACGCGGCUGAGUCAGUGUGACAAGUGUUCUUCAUACAAGCCUCCCAGGACUCAUCAUUGUCGGUCUUGUAGAAGGUGUAUUUUGAGGAUGGAUCAUCACUGUAUGUGGAUAAAUAAUUGUGUUGGUCUUAGGAACUACAAGGCCUUUAUUGUCCUUGUGUUGUAUGCAACUAUGGCAAGCAUUUAUUCUUCGGCUUUGACAUGCUUAGGUUGUUCUAGUAAGCUGCACAGUUCAGAAGGAUUGGAAUUUCUCUGGAAUGGUUUCCCUCAAGAUCUUUUACCAGGUUCAGGAAAAUGCAGGUUUUUGACCAUUGUCUCUUCGCUUAUUCCCCUCCUGUUUUGGUGUUCUCUUAUCACGAACAUUCUAAAAGCAGUGAAAUUUUCAGUUUAUUUCUGGGGUGAUAAUUGUUGGCUUGAGCUUGACACUGGGAACUCUCCUUGGCUGGCAUAUCUACCUCAUCCUUCAUAAUAUGACGACCAUAGAGUAUUAUGAAGCAAUAAGAGCAGCAUGGUUGGCUAGGAAAUCUGGACAAAGCUAUCGUCAUCCUUAUAAUGUUGGCAUCUACAAAAAUAUUACCUUGGUAUUAGGUCCAAACAUGCUGAAUUGGUUAUGCCCCACUGCAGUAAACCAUAUAAAAGAUGGGAUUACCUUUCCUACUAUACGUGAUAGCUCGUGACCUUUUUUGCCUCUACCUAGAUUUUUUUUUUGGCUUCUCAUCCUUGAUUACCUGAUAAAUUUACCUUAUAUAUAAUUUGUAAGCGCAGUUCGUAUGCUUUUGCUCAAGGCAUUUCUUUCUCUCUCUUUCUCUCUCUCUCUCUUUCUCUUUUCUUUUCUUUUCUUUUAUUUAGAAAAAUGUCACGGAGGGUGUUUUUGUGUAUAUUGUUUAUAUAUGUAAGCCAUUCGUUUUACUAAUUUUGUUCAUCUGAUCAAUAAUCAGUCACCCAGUUUAAUUUUGGUUCCAUAGUCAAGAUAUGUAGAUUGCUCUCUA
Non-coding RNA from Camellia sinensis, 1362 nucleotides. The record is from RefSeq and is a predicted model, not a curated record. Lineage: Eukaryota; Viridiplantae; Streptophyta; Magnoliopsida; Ericales; Theaceae.